RNAcentral lists this ribosomal RNA (459 nucleotides) under uncultured bacterium. RNAcentral's name for it is "bacterial SSU rRNA". It matches the Rfam family "Bacterial small subunit ribosomal RNA", at positions 33 to 507 of the family's 1533-position model. The record is from RNAcentral.
ACGCUGGCGGCGUGCCUAACACAUGCAAGUCGAACGGAGUAGAGAGCUUCGGUUUUCUACUUAGUGGCGAACGGGUGAGUAACGCCGUGAGCAACCUGCCCUUCAGAGGGGAACAACAGUUGGAAACGACUGCUAAUACCGCAUAACGUGCUUUAGGGGCAUCCCUGAAGUACCAAAGAUUUAUCGCUGAAGGAUGGGCUCGCGUCCGAUUAGAUAGUUGGUGGGGGUAACGGCCUACCAAGUCGACGAUCAGUAGCCGGACUGAGAGGUUGAACGGCCACAUUGGGACUGAGACACGGCCCAGACUCCUACGGGAGGCAGCAGUGGGGAAUAUUGCGCAAUGGGGGAAACCCUGACGCAGCAACGCCGCGUGAAGGAAGAAGGUCUUCGGAUCGUAAACUUUUGUCUUCAGGGACGAUAAUGACGGUACCUGAGGAGGAAGCCACGGCUAACUACGUG